RNAcentral lists this non-coding RNA (26 nucleotides) under Homo sapiens (human). Lineage: Eukaryota; Metazoa; Chordata; Mammalia; Primates; Hominidae. The record is from RNAcentral.
UGACGAACUCGUCCUGCUCACGGAAA